UACGUAGGGUGCAAGCGUUAAUCGGAAUUACUGGGCGUAAAGCGGGCGCAGGCGGUGAUGUAAGACAGGGGUGAAAUCCCCGGGCUUAACCUGGGAACUGCAUUUGUGACUGCAUCGCUGGAGUGCGGCAGAGGGGGAUGGAAUUCCGCGUGUAGCAGUGAAAUGCGUAGAUAUGCGGAGGAACACCGAUGGCGAAGGCAAUCCCCUGGGCCUGCACUGACGCUCAUGCACGAAAGCGUGGGGAGCAAACAGG
Molecule: ribosomal RNA, 253 nt
Filed under: uncultured bacterium
Lineage: Bacteria
Description: partial 16S ribosomal RNA
Rfam family: Bacterial small subunit ribosomal RNA
Source: RNAcentral